This is a long non-coding RNA of Gasterosteus aculeatus aculeatus (three-spined stickleback), 1080 nucleotides long. NCBI's taxonomy places the organism in Eukaryota, Metazoa, Chordata, Actinopteri, Perciformes, Gasterosteidae. The record is from Ensembl.
GGUUUCCACCUGUGUCCAAUCACCUGCACCUCCCUUGUGUAUUUAAGCCGUGUGUCUCCUGUGUCACUUGUCGCGUCAUUGUCUUUCGUCACACAUGUUGCCUGCUGUUUUUCCUCCCGGUUCCUGUGUUUUUGACCUUUGACUAUUAAAGUCCUUUUGUCCCUGCAAGUCUGCAUUUUGAGUCCUGACUCCCACACACACUCGUGACAGAAUGACGCGACCAAAGAAGGACUCAGCAGAGUUUUUUCCCCUGGAAGACUUCAGGGGAACCCGUCUGGCAAUGGGCGGUCCACGCAAUCUCCAGCGGGCCGCCCGUAAUGGGGGAACGGUCCUCCCGGGGGUUCCAGCUGGGUACCUGUACUACUCCGUCUCCCCAUCUGGAGCCCUCAGUAGGCAUCUGGGUCACCAUCCGCCGCCCACCACAUGGUCCCCAGAGGAGGAGGCCAUUUCGUGGUCGUCCGGCGGCGAUUCUCACUGGGAGCGGGUAAUGGACCUUGCGGUCCGACUCCAGGCCACCUAUGCUCCCCACGCUCGGCCGCAGCGACGUCCCAACCCCGCUCGGUCGCAGCGCACAAUGUCCAGCGCUGGGCCGCAGCGACGUCCCGACCCCGCUCGGUCGCAGCGCAAAAUGUCCCGCGCUGGGCCGCAGCAGAUUCCCGUCCCAGCCUCCCGACCCAAGCCCAUGACCCCUGAUCCGACGCCCCGAUCCAGGUCCACGACCCCCGAGCCAGCGCCACGAUCCAUGCCCCCGGUACCGGCCCCACGAUCCAUGCCCCCGGUACCGGCCCCACGAUCCAUGCCCCCGACCCCGGUACCGGCCCCACGAUCCAUGCCCCCGGUACCGGCCCCACGAUCCAUGCCCCCGACCCCGGUACCGGCCCCACGUUCCAUGCCCCCGACCCGACCAGUACCGGCCCCACGUUCCAUGCCCCCGACCAGUCCCCGCUCCGAGACUCACGACCCCGACGCCCCCAGUCCCCGCUCCGAGACUCACGACCCCGACGCCCCCAGUCCCCGCUCCGAGACUCAGGCUCCCUCCCUCCCAUCCCAUGGUCCUCUCCCACCCUCCCGUUGGUGAUU